This 1371-nucleotide ribosomal RNA is filed under the name uncultured bacterium. Its description in RNAcentral is "bacterial SSU rRNA". It matches the Rfam family "Bacterial small subunit ribosomal RNA", at positions 28 to 1381 of the family's 1533-position model. The record is from RNAcentral.
GAUGAACGCUGGCGGCGUGCCUAAUACAUGCAAGUCGAGCGAACGGACGAGAAGCUUGCUUCUCCGAUGUUAGCGGCGGACGGGUGAGUAACACGUGGAUAACCUACCUAUAAGACUGGGAUAACUUCGGGAAACCGGAGCUAAUACCGGAUGAUAUUUUGAACCGCAUGGUUCAAAAGUGAAAGACGGUCUUGCUGUCACUUAUAGAUGGAUCCGCGCUGCAUUAGCUAGUUGGUAAGGUAACGGCUUACCAAGGCAACGAUGCAUAGCCGACCUGAGAGGGUGAUCGGCCACACUGGAACUGAGACACGGUCCAGACUCCUACGGGAGGCAGCAGUAGGGAAUCUUCCGCAAUGGGCGAAAGCCUGACGGAGCAACGCCGCGUGAGUGAUGAAGGUCUUCGGAUCGUAAAACUCUGUUAUUAGGGAAGAACAUAUGUGUAAGUAACUGUGCACAUCUUGACGGUACCUAAUCAGAAAGCCACGGCUAACUACGUGCCAGCAGCCGCGGUAAUACGUAGGUGGCAAGCGUUAUCCGGAAUUAUUGGGCGUAAAGCGCGCGUAGCGGUUUUUUAAGUCUGAUGUGAAAGCCCACGGCUCAACCGUGGAGGGUCAUUGGAAACUGGAAAACUUGAGUGCAGAAGAGGAAAGUGGAAUUCCAUGUGUAGCGGUGAAAUGCGCAGAGAUAUGGAGGAACACCAGUGGCGAAGGCGACUUUCUGGUCUGUAACUGACGCUGAUGUGCGAAAGCGUGGGGAUCAAACAGGAUUAGAUACCCUGGUAGUCCACGCCGUAAACGAUGAGUGCUAAGUGUUAGGGGGUUUCCGCCCCUUAGUGCUGCAGCUAACGCAUUAAGCACUCCGCCUGGGGAGUACGACCGCAAGGUUGAAACUCAAAGGAAUUGACGGGGACCCGCACAAGCGGUGGAGCAUGUGGUUUAAUUCGAAGCAACGCGAAGAACCUUACCAAAUCUUGACAUCCUUUGACAACUCUAGAGAUAGAGCCUUCCCCUUCGGGGGACAAAGUGACAGGUGGUGCAUGGUUGUCGUCAGCUCGUGUCGUGAGAUGUUGGGUUAAGUCCCGCAACGAGCGCAACCCUUAAGCUUAGUUGCCAUCAUUAAGUUGGGCACUCUAAGUUGACUGCCGGUGACAAACCGGAGGAAGGUGGGGAUGACGUCAAAUCAUCAUGCCCCUUAUGAUUUGGGCUACACACGUGCUACAAUGGACAAUACAAAGGGCAGCGAAACCGCGAGGUCAAGCAAAUCCCAUAAAGUUGUUCUCAGUUCGGAUUGUAGUCUGCAACUCGACUACAUGAAGCUGGAAUCGCUAGUAAUCGUAGAUCAGCAUGCUACGGUGAAUACGUUCCCGGGUCU